Long non-coding RNA from Anolis carolinensis (green anole), 1650 nucleotides. The record is from Ensembl. Lineage: Eukaryota; Metazoa; Chordata; Lepidosauria; Squamata; Anolidae.
CCACUCUGAAAACAAGGUAAUUCCAGACAGGAAACAAUCAGGGCCAGCUAACACCUCCCAACAAACAAAUCACUCAGGGAAGAAACAGCUAGGCUUUAAAUCUGCAAGGCCAUUACAUCCUAAUCAUUUUUCCUAAUUGCAGCAUUCAUACUUGCCUCCAACAGACAAAAAAAAAACAAACAAUCAGAAAUAUUGCAUAUUCACAACCUUUAGGAAAUAAUGUCCCCUGAUGGCACAGCAUGUUAAAGCGCUGAGCUGCUGAACUUCUGGACCGAAAGGCCGCAGGUUUGAAUUGGGGGAACUGACAGAGCCCCCACUGUUAGCCCCAGCUUCUGCCAACCCAGAAGUUCAAAAACAUGUAAAUGUGAGUGCAUCAAUAGGUACUGCUCCGGUGGGAAGGUAACGCCACUCCAUGCAGUCAUCCCACAUGACCUUGGAGGAGUCUACGGACAACGCUGGCUCUUCGGCUUAGAAAUGGAGAUGAGCACCAACCCCCAGAAUCAUACAUGACUGGGCUUAAUGUCAGAGGAAAACGUUUACCCUUUACCUUAACUACCACCAAUUCCUCAAUAAAUCUAUAUUAUACUAGCUGUGCCCGGCCACGCGUUGCUGUGGCGAAGUAUGGUGGUAUGGGAAAUAAAGUAUUGAGGAAUUGGUGGUAGUUAAGGUAAAGGGUAAAGGUUUUCCCCUGACAUUAAGUCCAGUCGUGUCUGAGUCUGGGGGUCUCCAUUUCUAAGCUGAAGAGCUGGCAUUGUCUGUAGACUCCUCCAAGGUCAUGUGGCCAGCAUGACUGCAUGGAGUGCCAUUACCUUCCCACCAGAGCAGUACCUAUUAAUGUACUCUCAUUUGCAUGUUUUUGAACUUUAGGGUUGGCAGAAGCUGCCUAAGUGAGUCCUAACUCUGCCUGUCCCCUGGGCUGAGUGGGUUGCUAGGAGACCAAGUGGGUGGAGCUUAGCCUUCUAACUGGCAGCAAUUGGAUAAAAACAAUUAUUUCUCUCCCUCUAAUUAGGACUUUAGUUUUCUUUUCUUUUGGUUAUAUCAACCUGGAGGCGUGGAUGAUGGGUUGUGUUGUCAAAUUUCGAGGUUGGGGGGCCUUUAGUUUUGUUGUUUUGUCGGUUGCCGGGAUUCCAUCACUCUUUUAUAUAUAUAGAUACAGUAAAUAGCCAUCAGCAAUGUUACAUUCUGCUUCUGUUACACAAUGCUACACUGGAUAGUAACAUGGUAAUACAAUGCACAUGGUUGUCACCAUGUAUAGGGCAAUGUGUAAUUAUACAUUGUUCUCUGAAUGUCAGUAGGCAACUGUAAGCUCCAUGGUUCUGCAGGUAGAUUCCCAUUUCCACUGUCAUAAGAUAAAUAUUGGCUACUGAACAUUGUUCACAGAAGCCAUUCCAAUGACCAUUAUAUACUAUGGAUAUAAUGACUACAGCCAGUAGUAGCUGUGUAGUCAACCCCCUACAUAGGUUGACCCACAGGGUCAAACCUACAAAUGUAGAGGAUCAACUGUAUUGAAUUGGGGGCCUUUUUUUCAAUUACAACUUAAACUAGUUUUGUUUUGUUUUUUAACUCUUACUUCCUUGGAAGCUCCCGCCCCCCUUCAAGUUCUAUGUGAGAUCAUCUUCUGUGCAACACUAAUCUCAUUAAGUCCAAGGC